UACAGAGGGUGCGAGCGUUGUUCGGAAUUACUGGGCGUAAAGCGCACGUAGGCGGAUUUGUAAGUCAGGGGUGAAAUCCCGGGGCUCAACCCCGGAACUGCCUUUGAUACUGCAAAUCUCGAGUCCGGAAGAGGUGAGUGGAAUUCCUAGUGUAGAGGUGAAAUUCGUAGAUAUUAGGAAGAACACCAGAGGCGAAGGCGGCCCACUGGUCCGGUACUGACGCUGAGGUGCGAAAGCGUGGGGAGCAAACAGG
RNAcentral lists this ribosomal RNA (253 nucleotides) under uncultured bacterium. Its description in RNAcentral is "partial 16S ribosomal RNA". It matches the Rfam family "Bacterial small subunit ribosomal RNA", at positions 524 to 776 of the family's 1533-position model. The record is from RNAcentral.